Molecule: ribosomal RNA, 1368 nt
Filed under: uncultured bacterium
Lineage: Bacteria
Description: bacterial SSU rRNA
Rfam family: Bacterial small subunit ribosomal RNA
Source: RNAcentral
AGAGUUUGAUCCUGGCUCAGGACGAACGCUGGCGGCGCGCCUAACACAUGCAAGUCGAACGAGCGAGAGAGAGCUUGCUUUCUCGAGCGAGUGGCGAACGGGUGAGUAACGCGUGAGGAACCUGCCUCAAAGAGGGGGACAACAGUUGGAAACGACUGCUAAUACCGCAUAAGCCCGCGGUGCCGCAUGGCACAGGGGGAAAAGGAGCAAUCCGCUUUGAGAUGGCCUCGCGUCCGAUUAGCUAGUUGGUGAGGUAACGGCCCACCAAGGCGACGAUCGGUAGCCGGACUGAGAGGUUGAACGGCCACAUUGGGACUGAGACACGGCCCAGACUCCUACGGGAGGCAGCAGUGGGGAAUAUUGCACAAUGAGGGAAACCCUGAUGCAGCGACGCCGCGUGGAGGAAGAAGGUCUUCGGAUUGUAAACUCCUGUUGUUGAGGAAGAUAAUGACGGUACUCAACAAGGAAGUGACGGCUAACUACGUGCCAGCAGCCGCGGUAAAACGUAGGUCACAAGCGUUGUCCGGAAUUACUGGGUGUAAAGGGAGCGCAGGCGGGAAGACAAGUUGGAAGUGAAAUCUAUGGGCUCAACCCAUAAACUGCUUUCAAAACUGUNUUUCUUGAGUAGUGCAGAGGUAGGCGGAAUUCCCGGUGUAGCGGUGGAAUGCGUAGAUAUCGGGAGGAACACCAGUGGCGAAGGCGGCCUACUGGGCACCAACUAACGCUGAGGCUCGAAAGUGUGGGUAGCAAACAGGAUUAGAUACCCUGGUAGUCCACACCGUAAACGAUGAUUACUAGGUGUUGGAGGAUUGACCCCUUCAGUGCCGCAGUUAACACAAUAAGUAAUCCACCUGGGGAGUACGACCGCAAGGUUGAAACUCAAAGGAAUUGACGGGGGCCCGCACAAGCAGUGGAGUAUGUGGUUUAAUUCGACGCAACGCGAAGAACCUUACCAAGUCUUGACAUCCUCUGACGAACGUAGAAAUACGUUUUCUCUUCGGAGCAGAGAGACAGGUGGUGCAUGGUUGUCGUCAGCUCGUGUCGUGAGAUGUUGGGUUAAGUCCCGCAACGAGCGCAACCCUUAUGGUCAGUUACUACGCAAGAGGACUCUGGCCAGACUGCCGUUGACAAAACGGAGGAAGGUGGGGAUGACGUCAAAUCAUCAUGCCCUUUAUGACUUGGGCUACACACGUACUACAAUGGCGUUAAACAAAGAGAAGCAAGACCGCGAGGUGGAGCAAAACUCAGAAACAACGUCCCAGUUCGGACUGCAGGCUGCAACUCGCCUGCACGAAGUCGGAAUUGCUAGUAAUCGCAGAUCAGCGUGCUGCGGUGAAUACGUUCCCGGGCCUUGUACACACCGCCCGU